RNA transcript from Triticum aestivum (bread wheat), 1992 nucleotides. RefSeq lists it as uncharacterized. NCBI's taxonomy places the organism in Eukaryota, Viridiplantae, Streptophyta, Magnoliopsida, Poales, Poaceae. The record is from RefSeq and is a predicted model, not a curated record. The transcript has 6 exons.
GCAUUAAGCCACUACAAUCAAACGCACACCUCCAUCGAGUCAUCCAUAAGAAAAACCGCCCCUCGCACGCACGAUACCCACUCGCCCAUAUGCCACCGCCCUCGCUCGCCCAUACGCCACCGCCCUCGCUCGCCCACCCCCUACACGGCCGGCCGCCGCCGCCGCCUCACACCACCGCUCCUCCGCUCGGCCGCUGCCCCACAGAUGCGAUCGCCGUUGCCGUCCGCGGCUCCUCCGCUAGGUUGCUGCCGCAUGGAUGCGGUCGCCGCCCGUCGUUCGGCUGAUGUGUGAUGUCCAGUCACCGCCUCAUUUGCUAUGGCGAGCCGCCGCCGACCUCCUCGGCCGAACACCAUGGCCAUGGACCAAGCUCUGCCAGACCUUCUCUCGCGACUUCCGGCCUUCCUCUCGACCAGAUCGACGACGGGACGCCCAGAUCCGAGUCAUCUGACACGACGCCGUUCGUUUCCGGCUUGCCUAGCCGCACUGAGCAUCCGAACCACCUCCCCAGACAGCGCCGCCAUCGUCGCCAAGGCGGCGCCGGUCUCGGCCACGGCGCAGGAGGUGUCGUCAUCACCGUCCUUGUCAUCAUCUGGCUGGGCCGUCGACGAUCUCCUGCAGUUCUCCCUACGGGCACCGUCGACGGCACUGAUGGUCUAUCACAAAUCAAUCAGGGAUAAGAAAAGCGAGGUGCAACUCAAGCGAAUAAACAGUAGAAGAAUGAAGAAGUAAGCAGGGGGUGGAUGUAGAUCCUCCAAGGGACCAUCAAGGUAAGGCAUUAAACUGAAUUUGUGGCACUACUGAAUAUAUGAACUGGCUUGUUAGGACCAACUUAUCUGAAACUAAUGUGUGAAAAGCUGGACAGGGCGAAAUAAUUUGUAAGUAUACUACAAAACUGUACGGAAAAUCUUAUGGCAAUUUUCCUAUUGAUGCUUCAAGGUACUGGUUGUGCCCACCUGUUGUGGGAUUGCUUCUACCUAAACCAUGUGGAUUACUCUUCGUACAAUUUUCUUGCAGUCAGUGUACUUGUGAAAUGCAUGCAGCAACAAGGUCUGCCAACCAUUGUCAUUGUUGCAAGAUUACUUUUCUGAAAGUUGUAAAGAGAACGAGAGAUAGAACUAAGUAAGUUGCUCUAGCUCUCACCAAGCUAUGUCAUUGACCAGGUCACUAAGCUUUGCUAUUCGGGUGCAUAUGACACUAAUUAUUCAGUGGGUUGGGCACAACAUGGCGCUCAGCAGCCCAUAGGAAACAAAUGGUUCUCUAAGUUGAGAUGGUGUUGUGAUUAAUUGUUGGCUUGUUGCCAUCAGAUUUACUUACAUGAAGAAAUGCAUGGUACAGAUGGUGUUACUUGCUGUUCUAGGUGUGGUGAUCUCAACAUUUUUGCUUGGCGCUCCUAUAAAGCUUACUUUUCCGUAUGACUGGAACUGGAAAACAUCAUUCUUGUUCGGCGGACGCUCAGUGCAACCGAUCAUGUUACUAUGAUUGCUCUUCUAAAAGACCUAGGCGCAAGCAAAAAGCUCAGUACGAUAAUCGAAGGAGAAUCCUUAAUGAACGAUAGUGUUGCUCUGGGCCUUGCAUUUGGAAUCGCAUCUCUACUAUGGCUGGGCUUUAUUUUCGAUGGUACAAUCAUACAGAUUUCACUAACACUCGCAGUCAGAUAUAUGGCUUUCUUCACUGUAAGAUAAUCAGAUAACGGGCAUAUCAAGGCUCUUAUAUUUCUAUUUUUAUCUCUAGAAGGACAUGAUUUGCUCAGUGUUUGGAAAUGGUUUUUAGCUCGAGUAAUAGAAUGGUUGUCAAGCAACCCUUUUUGCAACAUUGGGAUGCUGUUUUAAUGGCUUGUGAUGGCAAUCCAGGGUCAUUUCUGGAUGCAUUCAUGUGUGCCAAUGAGGUUUCCAUGUACUGAUGAUGUAAUACUAGAUUUUUUAUCUUGUCAAUUUCUUACCCUGGCAGUACGACUAUGUACUCAGACUGCUAGAAAAGUGUAUUUUCUUUUUA